CAUGAUUCGUUAAAAAGCAAUUUCUUCUGGCAUUCUCAUUGACGAAGAUUCCUAUAAAAAUUUGUCUUUUUCAAGUUCUCCUUUAGAACCAACGAAAAACCAAUAAUAUCUUUCGCGUGACACUCGAACCACGUGCAUUCUUUCACAAACAAGAAAAUUAGUCACGAAGCCGACGUUUACGUUUACGGAAUGUUUCGCACGUGUCGCGAAUUACACAAUUCCAGUGAUUUAUUUCUCGUUAGCACAAUUUAUCACGUCUUCCAACGGAACAACAAAAAACUAAGCGUACUUACGUCAACGAGAAUUUUUGGAAGAUUCCAAAUAAAAAUCAAAAAGUCAAAGUUUCAAUCUCAAGUUGCCACUGUUGGAAAAACUUCGUGUUUUAAUAAAAGUUUUUACAAGAAUUCACAGUUUCUUCCACGAUAUUCUUAUAUAGGCCAAGCUGGUGCACAAAUCAACACGAAUUGAUCCAAA
This 474-nucleotide unclassified non-coding RNA is filed under the name Bombus terrestris (buff-tailed bumblebee). RNAcentral describes it as "misc RNA ENSBTSG00005027521.1". The record is from RNAcentral. Lineage: Eukaryota; Metazoa; Arthropoda; Insecta; Hymenoptera; Apidae.